AUACGUAGGGAGCGAGCGUUGUCCGGAAUUACUGGGCGUAAAGGGCGCGUAGGCGGCGCUUCAAGUCGUCUGUCAAAUGGAAGGGCUUAACCCUUUUUCGCAGACGAAACUGGAGAGCUUGAGAAGCAGAGAGGCAAACAGAAUUCCUGAUGUAGCGGUGAAAUGCGUAGAUAUCAGGAAGAAUACCAGUGGCGAAGGCGGUUUGCUGGCUGCAUACUGACGCUGAAGCGCGAAAGCCAGGGGAGCGAACGGGAUUAGAUACCCCGGUAGUCCUGGCAGUAAACGAUGUAUGCUGGGUGUGAGACUAGCGAUAGUUUCGUGCCGAAGUUAACGCGAUAAGCAUACCGCCUGGGGAGUACGGUCGCAAGAUUGAAACUCAAAUGAAUUGGCGGGG
This 394-nucleotide ribosomal RNA is filed under the name uncultured bacterium. Its description in RNAcentral is "partial 16S ribosomal RNA". It matches the Rfam family "Bacterial small subunit ribosomal RNA", at positions 523 to 918 of the family's 1533-position model. The record is from RNAcentral.